GACGAACGCUGGCGGCGUGCCUAAUACAUGCCAGUUGAGCGCUGAAGGUUGGUACUUGUACCAACUGGAUGAGCCGCGAACGGGUGAGUAACGCGUGGGGAAUCUGCCUUUGAGCGGGGGACAACAUUUGGAAACGAAUGCUAAUACCGCAUAAAAACUUUAAACACAAGUUUUAAGUUUGAAAGAUGCAAUUGCAUCACUCAAAGAUGAUCCCGCGUUGUAUUAGCUAGUUGGUGAGGUAAAGGCUCACCAAGGCGAUGAUACAUAGCCGACCUGAGAGGGUGAUCGGCCACAUUGGGACUGGGACACGGCCCAAACUCCUACGGGAGGCAGCAGUAGGGAAUCUUCGGCAAUGGACGAAAGUCUGACCGAGCAACGCCGCGUGAGUGAAGAAGGUUUUCGGAUCGUAAAACUCUGUUGGUAGAGAAGAACGUUGGUGAGAGUGGAAAGCUCAUCAAGUGACGGUAACUACCCAGAAAGGGACGGCUAACUACGUG
Molecule: ribosomal RNA, 497 nt
Filed under: uncultured bacterium
Lineage: Bacteria
Description: partial 16S ribosomal RNA
Rfam family: Bacterial small subunit ribosomal RNA
Source: RNAcentral